Molecule: unclassified non-coding RNA, 354 nt
Filed under: fungal sp.
Lineage: Eukaryota; Fungi
Description: partial internal transcribed spacer region
Rfam family: Eukaryotic small subunit ribosomal RNA (bases 1-46)
Source: RNAcentral
AAGUCGUAACAAGGUUUCCGUAGGUGAACCUGCGGAAGGAUCAUUAACACGUUUCGUUCCGAACGUUUUGACCCAUCCUAUUUUCCGUGCACCCCUCGCGUCCGGCCUCCCAGCCGCCUACCGGGUUUACUCGGUGUGGCCUGUUGGGCGUCUUUGGGAUCCAAGGCAGUUUUGGGAUUUCCUUCGGGAUUUCCUAUCUCUGUCUCCUGAAGGCGUUGCCACCUCACCCAAACCCUUAAAUCUAACUGAUCUGAACUUUUAGUUGACGCGAUGCAGUUUCCUCUCGGGGUGACUAAUUCGUUGCAACGACUUACAAACAAAAAACAACUCUUAACAACGGAUAUCUUGGUUCUC